CUACGGGUCGCUGCAGUGGGGAAUAUUGGACAAUGGGGGAAACCCUGAUCCAGCAAUGCCGCGUGUGUGAAGAAGGCCUGCGGGCUGUAAAGCACUUUCGGUUGGGAGGACUGCUUCUAGCACUAAUAUUGUUGGAAGUUGACGUUACCUUCAGAAGAAGCACCGGCUAACUCCGUGCCAGCAGCCGCGGUAAUACGGAGGGUGCAAGCGUUAAUCGGAAUUACUGGGCGUAAAGCGCGCGUAGGCGGCUAGAUCAGUCGGGUGUGAAAGCCCCGGGCUUAACCUGGGAACUGCAUCCGAUACUGUCUAGCUUGAGUACAGGAGAGGAGAGUGGAAUUCCACAUGUAGCGGUGAAAUGCGUAGAUAUGUGGAGGAACACCAAUGGCGAAGGCAGCUCUCUGGCCUGAUACUGACGCUGAGGCGCGAAAGCGUGGGGAGCAAACAGGAUUAGAUACCCGAGUAGUC
This 465-nucleotide ribosomal RNA is filed under the name uncultured bacterium. Its description in RNAcentral is "partial 16S ribosomal RNA". It matches the Rfam family "Bacterial small subunit ribosomal RNA", at positions 339 to 795 of the family's 1533-position model. The record is from RNAcentral.